Non-coding RNA from Pelobates cultripes (western spadefoot toad), 646 nucleotides. Lineage: Eukaryota; Metazoa; Chordata; Amphibia; Anura; Pelobatidae. The record is from the annotation of a GenBank genome assembly.
GGGGAGAACAUCGCAGCAACCGCGGAAACCCCUUUAACCAUGAAACGCCGCACGCAGAAAGGCCAGCAAAACUCACCGGCGGAGCAGCGCGAUGUCGGGGAGAUGCUGCGACGCCAGACACAACCCAAGAUGGCCACUGAAGAGGCCCCCUUCGCGCCCAUGCGGCCUACACAGCUGGCCCAAACUCCAGCAACACAAACAGAGGGGCCACUAAGUAAUACACUCCCAGCCCUCACAGAAAUAGUGGAACACAACUUAGCCACCAAACAAGACCUCCAACGUUGGAUGCACGAGCUCCAAGACCUAAUAGCCAAAGACAUAGGCACUAUAAAAGCGGAGGUGCGCCAAAUUACAGGCAGAGUACACGCAGUAGAGGAGAGUGUAGUGACAAUAGGCAACGAGAUGACUCACCUUAAAGAAACGCUGUACACAAUGCAAACAGCUCAUCAGGCGCUAGAGGUGCAGGUCUCCACCCAAGGGGACCGCCUGCGUCGUAACCACAUCAAGCUCCGAGGGGUGCCCGCGGCGAUCACACAGGCUGAACAGCCUCAUUUCCUAAGGAGGCUCCUAGCCACAAUCCUGCCACCAGCAGCUGCCCGGAAAAUCACACUGGAGUGCUCAUACCGACUGCCAGCAGGACCCAACU